Molecule: transfer RNA, 62 nt
Filed under: Pupa strigosa
Lineage: Eukaryota; Metazoa; Mollusca; Gastropoda; Acteonidae
Description: tRNA-Thr
Source: RNAcentral
AUCUGAAAGGCAGUGCCACCUCUGAAUUACAAAAUCAGUACUAUAUAUUUAGCUAUUCCAGA